RNAcentral lists this ribosomal RNA (1358 nucleotides) under Synechococcus sp. RNAcentral describes it as "bacterial SSU rRNA". It matches the Rfam family "Bacterial small subunit ribosomal RNA". The record is from RNAcentral. Lineage: Bacteria; Bacillati; Cyanobacteriota; Cyanophyceae; Synechococcales; Synechococcaceae. RNAcentral also lists the same sequence under 1 other name.
GCUUAACACAUGCAAGUCGAACGGGCUCUUCGGAGCUAGUGGCGGACGGGUGAGUAACGCGUGAGAAUCUGCCUACAGGACGGGGACAACAGUUGGAAACGACUGCUAAUACCCGAUGUGCCGAGAGGUGAAACAUUUAUGGCCUGUACAUGAGCUCGCGUCUGAUUAGCUAGUUGGUGGGGUAAGGGCCUACCAAGGCGACGAUCAGUAGCUGGUCUGAGAGGAUGAUCAGCCACACUGGGACUGAGACACGGCCCAGACUCCUACGGGAGGCAGCAGUGGGGAAUUUUCCGCAAUGGGCGCAAGCCUGACGGAGCAACGCCGCGUGGGGGAGGAAGGUUUUUGGACUGUAAACCCCUUUUCUCAGGGAAGAAGAAAGUGACGGUACCUGAGGAAUAAGCCUCGGCUAAUUCCGUGCCAGCAGCCGCGGUAAUACGGGAGAGGCAAGCGUUAUCCGGAAUUAUUGGGCGUAAAGCGUCCGCAGGCGGUUAAUCAAGUCUGUUGUCAAAGCGUGGGGCUCAACCUCAUACAGGCAAUGGAAACUGAUUGACUAGAGUAUGGUAGGGGUAGCGGGAAUUCCAGGUGUAGCGGUGAAAUGCGUAGAUAUCUGGAAGAACACCAGCGGCGAAAGCGCGCUACUGGGCCAUAACUGACGCUCAUGGACGAAAGCUAGGGGAGCGAAAGGGAUUAGAUACCCCUGUAGUCCUAGCCGUAAACGAUGAACACUAGGUGUUGCGUGAAUCGACCCGCGCAGUGCCGUAGCCAACGCGUUAAGUGUUCCGCCUGGGGAGUACGCACGCAAGUGUGAAACUCAAAGGAAUUGACGGGGGCCCGCACAAGCGGUGGAGUAUGUGGUUUAAUUCGAUGCAACGCGAAGAACCUUACCAGGGUUUGACAUCCCCCGAAUCUCUUGGAAACGAGAGAGUGCCUUCGGGAGCGGGGAGACAGGUGGUGCAUGGCUGUCGUCAGCUCGUGUCGUGAGAUGUUGGGUUAAGUCCCGCAACGAGCGCAACCCACGUUUUUAGUUGCCAUCAUUCAGUUGGGCACUCUAGAGAAACUGCCGGUGACAAACCGGAGGAAGGUGUGGACGACGUCAAGUCAUCAUGCCCCUUACAUCCUGGGCUACACACGUACUACAAUGCUCCGGACAGCGAGACGCGAAGCCGCGAGGUGAAGCAAAUCUCCCAAACCGGGGCUCAGUUCAGAUUGCAGGCUGCAACUCGCCUGCAUGAAGGCGGAAUCGCUAGUAAUCGCAGGUCAGCAUACUGCGGUGAAUACGUUCCCGGGCCUUGUACACACCGCCCGUCACACCAUGGAAGUUGGCCAUGCCCGAAGUCGUUACCCUAACCGUUCGCGGA